Molecule: ribosomal RNA, 253 nt
Filed under: uncultured bacterium
Lineage: Bacteria
Description: partial 16S ribosomal RNA
Rfam family: Bacterial small subunit ribosomal RNA
Source: RNAcentral
GACGGAGGAUGCAAGCGUUAUCCGGAAUGAUUGGGCGUAAAGCGUCCGCAGGCGGCAGUUCAAGUCUGCUGUCAAAGACCGGGGCUUAACUUCGGAAAGGCAGUGGAAACUGAACAGCUAGAGUAUGGUAGGGGCAGAGGGAAUUCCUGGUGUAGCGGUGAAAUGCGUAGAGAUCAGGAGGAACACCGAUGGCGAAGGCAGGUCUCUGGGCUAACACUGACGCUCAUGCACGAAAGCGUGGGGAGCAAACAGG